CAACCUCAUGGUUAUUAAUCGGAUUCAUUUCCACUGAGCCACAAUGGGAACUCCUGAUCUUUGUACUUAAAUAAAUGCAAAGAGGAAUAGAAGGAGAGAUGCUAGCAUACAAUGAGAAAAUCUGCCUCAUCUCUCAGAUCAGAGGAAUCAUGAAAUGUUGAUGGUAGUGGAGAAUUUACUUUAUACCAAUAACUACACUAUUUGGGUCCAUACAAUAUUGCCAUUUCCCCCACUCAUCUGGCUAUUACCCAAUUUAACUAGUUACAGCUUUAAUAUAUGAUUAAGCAAAUUAAUUUUCAACAACAAAUCACGCAGUUUAAGUGUAAUCCCACAUUAACUAAAACGAAGCAAAACAACAAUGUGGCGGGGGACAGAGGCUGUGGGUUGAGGGGCACAGUAGGCAGUAAAGGGCCUGAGCAGCACCAUUGGAGUCUGGGAGUGCUGGUAUGACUGGAUGUCUAGGAAGGGCCCUCUGGUGGAGAAUCUUAAGUGUCAGGUUGGGAAAGUUACACUUGAUCGGAAAAGAGUAUUGACAGUUCUUGAAUGGUGGGAAUGAUGUGGCAGAAAGAGGAGAGAGAGACAAGCAGUGGUGACAGAAUUGAAAUUUCUCUUCUUCAUGGUUAAUUAAAGCACUUAGUAAAGGCUCCAGAGUGGCUCACCUAAAGGAAUGCCUGAUGCAUGGUGUAUUUCUACAUGAUGUUUCACAGAUAACUUGCUACACUUGCUAAUUUGACCCUUUUGCCUCAGAGGGAGGCUAAGGGGUUGAAUCAACCAUCUCAGCUUGUCCCUUUGGGGGCAUCCACAGCUAAAGCUAGUAGGUGGAAGUCACCCUAUAGAUUGUUUAUUUGUGCUAUUUCAUUUUCAUAUGUGGCAGUUGAGAUAUAGAGAUUGACAGAGCUGUUCAAGGCUCCAGCUCACUUCCUUACUCCUAUUCAGUUCUCUAGUAGAAGGACACCAAUUCAGUCCUGGGAUCUCUGUUUUUCUCUCUUCAAUACUACUUCUUUUGUCAUUUUGGGUAACUUCAGUUAUGAGGACAAUGUGUCCAAUACUUGUCAGGCCCUUGACCUCCAUCUUCUCCCAUGAACUUGUCUCCUCACCUCACCUUAGAUUCCUUGGUCCAUCAUGGAUAUAAAUUCAUCUGCUUAAACUCUCUUCUGUUGUCUUAUCACAAACUGACAAGUUAUAUGUGAUUUGUGGAUUUCUAUCUCUGCCUCUGGACUACAAACACCUUGAGGACAGGGCCCUUUUUUUUUUUCUUUGCUCCCUGCUGUGUCCUGAGUGCCUAAGGCAUGGUUGGCACAUGGGAGGUGCUCAGGAAAUAACAGCUGAGUAAAUGAAUAAAUAAAUCAGUGAAAACAAAAGUUGCUUUCAGAGUGGUUAAAUUAUAUUUUGCUCUAGAGAGUUUGGCACAUGGAUCUGUUUGGCUUAUUUUUAAUACUAAAUGUUUUUUUACUUUUCUUCAUUUCUCCCCUCCCACAGAACAAAGAGCCCCAUUCUGUGGAGCAUUCCUUGUAUCUCCUUCUUGAGAAGCUGAUUUCAGGGAAUCCUGAGAUCUCUGUUCUUGCUCCUGAGUAUGCAGAGGAUAUCAGUAAGCCAGUGCAUGACUGUUGGUCUUGAUCACUACAGCUGAUUUAGGAGGUGCAGGAUAAACAAUCCAUCUUAAAGACCACCAUUUGAAGAAGUAAAGAUUUUAUGCAAGAUGAAUCCCAGCAAAAUUGUCCGGUGGAUGUGAUGAUGUUACUGCUUUUCCAGCCUCAUCUCAUUCAGGAACCUCCAGCAUUCUGGAUUGCCACUCUGGGGAGCCAUUUGCAGAUUAUACUAUUUCAAGGUUCUGAGAUUUUGUCAGGUGUCUCUAAAGUAAGUCAGCUUUUUAAAGACAGGUCAUUCCUCUUUGAGCCAGGAAAUCCAUUUUGUUUACAUUGAACUAAACACUUGAUCUUUAUGAGUUUUCCAUAUUUUUGGAAGCCUCACUGACUCUUCUAAGCUACUGGGCUGCUACCCCAUAAGUACCCUUCUCACUGCAUAAAUUGUCUUGUGGAUCAAAGAAUUAACAUUUGGUAUAUCAUUUCAUUAUUUCUGGCUACCCUCAAUGGCCUUGACUCAUAGUCCCUACUCUUGGUGCGAAAGGCACAUAUGAGAAAAUGACUCAAACACGGUUGGUUGCCCCAGACUGUUUGUCUUGUCUGUCUUGAAACUGAGAAUGAGAGAAUAAGGCUAUUUCAGAAAAACAAAGAAAGCAAUGCUACUUGAGUGUAAGAAGCAUUGACCAAUAACUGCCAAGAGGCAAUCUGUUCACAUUGUCUAAAUAACUUAAGCUUGGUGAUUUUUGCUCUCAAAGACCCAUUCCUGGAAGUUUUUUUGGACGUCAUGCCCUACAUGAACUUUUUAAAAUGCAAGGGAAAGUUUAGGUAAAGAUUCAGAGGGCAGGGUUCUGCCAGCGGCUUUAAAAAAUCAGUCUGCUUCAGUUCACUCAGGUUUGCCACUGUUUUCAGACAUGGUGGUAUCUGGGAUGCCCAAGGCCCAUGGGAUCCUCCACUCUUGGGUAAGAGCAAGCACAGCCCUGUACCUGGUGGCCACGUGCAAGACCUGUGAGAUUCUACACAAGCCCAGAUUCCAGUGGAAAAUCUAUGCUGGGAUCCACUCAGUCUGAUGAAUUCUCAUCUACGGAUACACUCGUGGAACCAGUACUCAGAUGAAGAUGGAGUUCCAGCAUACUAAGACUCAGUCACACUCCUCCCCCAUCCUGAUUCCCUGAGCUGUCAAUACCAUUGACCCCUGCUCCAGAUGAUUUGAUUAGGAAGACGUGGUAUAUAUACACAAUGGAAUACUACUCAGCC
Non-coding RNA from Sus scrofa (pig), 2837 nucleotides. Lineage: Eukaryota; Metazoa; Chordata; Mammalia; Artiodactyla; Suidae. The record is from RefSeq and is a predicted model, not a curated record.